This 1562-nucleotide ribosomal RNA is filed under the name Cladosporium sphaerospermum. Its description in RNAcentral is "SSU rRNA". It matches the Rfam family "Bacterial small subunit ribosomal RNA". The record is from RNAcentral. Lineage: Eukaryota; Fungi; Ascomycota; Dothideomycetes; Cladosporiales; Cladosporiaceae.
UAUUAAUUGAGUUUGAUGAUGGCUCUGAUUGAACGCUGUCCAAAGGCUUGACACAUGCUAAUCAUACGGCAUUUUUAUUACUAUAAUUUUGUUAUAAAUCAUAACUUAGGCGUAGUAAGAAAAUGAAGUGGUGUAAAGGUGAGUAUAUAAUAAUUUGUCAACCUUAAAGUAAGGAAAAAAAAAUUCCUUAUAAAGUAUUUGAUACUGGAUAAAAGUUGACCAUACAAAAGAAAAUAAUUUUCGCUUUAAGAUGCUCAAUUAUUUCCGAGUAAGUGGUAGUUAAGGUAAUGACUUAACUAGCUUAAGCUCGUAGUCGAAACUGAAAGGUUUAUCGACCACAUUGGGUCUGAAAAAACCCCAAUACGUCUAGUACAGCAGUGAGGAAUAUUGGUCAAUGGCCUAACGGCCGAACCAGCCAUUUGGAGGAAUGUGAUACUUUGUGCUUUUAAUGUAAUGUAUCUAAUUUAACGGCUAUGCCGUAUAUAGUUCUAGAUAGAUGAUUGAUAAUGACAGUUUUCUAUCUAUAGGUCUUGACCAAAUCUUGUGCCAGCAGUCGCGGCAAUACAAGUAAGACUAGUGUUAUUCAUCUUUAUUAGGUUUAAAGGGUACCUAGACGGUAUUUCUAGCCCCAAAAGGGAACAGAUUUACUAGAGUUUUAUGUGAGAGGUAAAUAUUAGAACCAUUGGAGUAGAGAUGAAAUUUUAUUAUACUAAUGGGACGGGUAACGGCGAAAGCAAGCCUUUAUGUAAUAACUGACGUUGAGGGACGAAGGCUUAGGUAGCGAAUAGGAUUAGAUACCCUAGUAGUCCUAGCAGAGAAUUAUGAAUGUUAUAGAUUAAAAUUAUUUGGUGUAUAAAUGAAAGUGUAAGCAUUCCACCUCAAGAGUAAUGCGGCAACGCAGGAACUGAAAUCAUUAGACCGUUUCUGAAACCAGUAGUGAAGUAUGUUGUUUAAUUCGAUAAUCCUCGAAAAACCUUACCACAAAUUGAAUGAUAUAGUAUUACUAGGGUAAUACUUAUAUUACAAGUGUUGCACGGCUGUCUUUAGUUAAUGUCGUGAGACCUUGGUUAGAUCCAUUAAAUUAACGUAAAACCCUUGCUUUAUUUAAUAAUACAUAGAGUACUUUUCCAAAAAUUAUUGGAAAUAAAAGGGAUUAAGUCAAGUCAUCAUGACCUUAAUAUUGUGGGCUAUGGACGUGCCACAUAUGUUUGUACAAAAGGAGGCGAAAAUGCGAAUUUUAGCUAAUCCUUAAAACAGAAUAUAAUAUGGAUUGUAGUCUGAAAUUCGACUGCAUGAAUAAGGAAUUACUAGUAAUCGUGAGUCACCACAUCACGGUGAAUUUAAUCUCAGAUAGGUACUAACCACUCGUCAGGCGCUGAAAGAAGUGCGUGCAAUAAGUUUGGCUCUUUAAUAAAUCUUCCUAUUAAUAAUUAGUUAAUAUUUAGAUCUAGUUAAUAGUUCUAUAAGAUACUUUAUUAAACAGUCUUCGUAUGCGUGACUUUGAUUGGUGUUAAGUCGAAAUAUGGUUCGUGUAGCGGAAGUUGCACGGGAAUAAUAAACAU